CUUGGUCAUUUAGAGGAAGUAAAAGUCGUAACAAGGUUUCCGUAGGUGAACCUGCGGAAGGAUCAUUAAUGAAUUCUAGGACGUUCUUUUUAGAAGUCCGACCCUUUCAUUUUCUUACACUGUGCACACACUUCUUUUUUACACACACUUUUAACACAUUAGUAUAAGAAUGUAAUAGUCUCUUGAUUGAGCAUAAAUAAAAACAAAACUUUCAGCAACGGAUCUCUUGGCUCUCGCAUCGAUGAAGAACGCAGCGAAUUGCGAUAAGUAAUGUGAAUUGCAGAAUUCAGUGAAUCAUCGAAUCUUUGAACGCACCUUGCACUCUUUGGUAUUCCGAAGAGUAUGUCUGUUUGAGUGUCAUGAAACUCUCAACCCCCCUAUUUUGUAAUGAGAUGGGCGUGGGCUUGGAUUAUGGCUGUCUGUCAGCGUAAUUGCCGGCUCAGCUGAAAUACACGAGCAACCCUAUUGAAAUAGACGGUUUGACUUGGCGUAAUAAUUAUUUCGCUAAGGACGUCUUCUUCAAAUAUAAGAGGUGCUUCUAAUGCGCUUUUUAAAGCAACUUAAGCUUUAGACCUCAAAUCAGUCAGGACUACCCGCUGAACUUAAGCAUAUCAAUAAGCGGAGGA
This 626-nucleotide ribosomal RNA is filed under the name uncultured Rhodotorula. Its description in RNAcentral is "eukaryotic LSU rRNA". The stretch from base 207 to 360 matches the Rfam family "5.8S ribosomal RNA". The record is from RNAcentral. Lineage: Eukaryota; Fungi; Basidiomycota.